Long non-coding RNA from Triticum aestivum (bread wheat), 2958 nucleotides. RefSeq lists it as uncharacterized. The record is from RefSeq and is a predicted model, not a curated record. Lineage: Eukaryota; Viridiplantae; Streptophyta; Magnoliopsida; Poales; Poaceae. The transcript is spliced from 5 exons.
UUAGUGGCUGGUCCCACAAGUCGGCGGUUGAUUAUUGGUUGGGUCAGCAUUGGAAAGGUGCGAGAGCGCUUUGGGCGAAUGCGCACGUCCCGCGCCGCGCGCGACGUGGGUGUGCUGCGGCAUGGAGGUUUCACGAGAGUAAAAAAUUCCUCCCCCUCCUCUGUUGUGCAAGGCGGCAGAAGUACGAAGGGCGGCGGUCGGAGUGCCGCCUCCUCCGCCAGGCUCUUCCUCCUUGUCUCAACGGCAACUGUGAGCACGGGAGAAGCGGCGGCGCCUAGAUUCGAUGGGCUGACCAAGGUGGUUCCACGGUGGAGAACGGACCCCCUCGACGCCAUCCUCUGCGGCGUUGUCCCGCUGCCUCUGUUUCCUUUACCGCCGGUGGUGGGAGGAUACCCGGGGGAGCAGAGAAGGGGGUUGGAUGAGGGGUUAGGAGGUGCGAGGCGAGCAGGAGGUGGGGGUCACCGGACGAGCACAGCCACCAGAGCAGAGGAGUUCGAUGCAGAGCAGAGGCAGUCGGAGAGCGCGCGGUAUCCUGCGAGACAUGUCCGCUCCCAAGCAGAGGAUGCAUAAGCGCUGGCUCCUCCUCUCCCCACGCCACUGCUUUCCUGCGUCGUCGCUACCGCCACGGUCUUGCUUGCCAUCGACCUCCCGGAGACCGGAGUGCUUCUCUCCGCUGCAUUCCCCUUUGCACGAGUUCUUGCCUUCAAAACUAAGUUUGUUCUUCCUGCUGCUAAGCAUUAGUCCUCUCGUCGAUCUUGCCUGAUUUUCUCGUCAGUUUUGCAUUUGAAGCUCAGGUUGGCCUGAGAGCAGCGAGGUUAGGGCUCCAGAUGGUUCUUGGUUGCAAUGGGGGGAGAGGCAGGGGAGGGUGAGGAGGCCAACGAUAGGGUGAAGCAGCCCGGCAACGAGUGCAAGCAGCAUGAGGUUUUGCACAUUCUCUUUUCUUGUUCUGCUUAGCUUUUUUCUUCAUCUCAUUAUUGACCAAUUCGUUGUUUAUGUGAUUCUCUCCUUUUUUAUUCUCAUGAACUGAUGUGUGUACAGGGUAAGCUUAUUCUUAUCUCUACAAUUCAUGGAUGAAUUAAUGGUCUUGGUUAUAUGGUUUAUUCAGUCCACCUGAAGAAACAAAGUUUGCACCCCUGGACUGAUUUAUUGGAAUUAUGAUGUGAUCUGUCUGCUUCCACAUGGCCGUUCUUGGUCCAAGUAUCGUAUUGUUUCAUGUCCUUUGUUGCAGUUUAAAGCUUUGAUUUUUAAGACUAGGCACUGUAGUGUUGUCUGUUAUGGCUGAUUGGCUUCUUUUGGUUCAUAGGAUAGGAUUAUCAUAAGAAUAGGAAUCUUGUAGGAAAUGAGAUGACAUGUAUCUCAAAUCCUAUGAGUAGGAAUAGAAAACAAGAUGCCAUUUGAUUGACACCAAAGGAAUUUUUCCAUUAAGUCUAGGCUCUUUUUUAUUUUCCUAUGAAAUGUGGAGGAUAGGAACCAAUCCUAUGUAGGAAUAGGAAUCCAUUCCUAUGAACCAAAGGGCUCUAAAGGAAAAAAAAUCCUAUAAGAAUCCUAUCCUCUAAAAUUCCUAUGAAAUUCCUCUAAACUAAACCAAAGGAGAGAUUGGAUUAAUUCCUGCAGCCAAUAGUUCCAGUACAGACUAUAUGUGCAAUGAAGUAAUGCAGCGAGCACUGUAUGGUGGUGAAGAAUUUCUCUUGAAUUUUGUACAACAUUCAAAUUAUCAUCCAGAAAAUGUGUGUUGUUUCUCAAUAGGCACAUAUGCAAAUUUAUCUUUCUGUUGGUUGUUUGUUCUUCUGGCAGCAUCCCAAGUAUACACAUGUGACGCUAUGGGAGUUCUUCUUUUGUGUGAUCAUGAGAGGAAUACGAUAGGCCAACCAAUUCUACCAUGUGAACACAAUCGUUGUGUGAUGUUCCGUGGUUCCGAAUCAGGCGCACCUCGUCGUCGUGGAGAGCAUGAGUAGAUGGGUCUUCAUGGUGGGGUGGAGCUGCAGGGGAGGGAAGGUUGCUGACGACAGGGGGAAGGAGGAGGCCGACGAGGAGGGCAAACAGCAGGGCGAAGGGGCACGGCGAGCCCAUCAGGGGGAAAAAGCAGGGUGAGUGACGCUAGCGGGAGGAAGGAGCAGGGCGAGGCCUUGUGACCUGCGUCCUCCUUGCGGCGAGCGGCUUUUCUACUCGUUUAGCAUGUGUGCGGCACUGCGGACAGGCGACGAUGGGCAGAUUUUGGGGAGCGGCACGAACAUCAAGCAAUGGCUGAUGACAAGGGAUUAUAGGAAGCAAGCAUAUGUGGGUGGGUUCUUUCUUCUUGCAUGAAAUUGUUCUACUAAUUCCUCAAUGCUCUGUUCAUGACUUUGUUCAGAAUGUAUAUAUAUAUAGGGUUGUUAUAGAAGUAUCCCAUAUAUCAGAGGUGCAGCUAACUGUACUUUCAGGCAUUGUUCCAAAUAUCGUACAGUUAAUCGGCAUCUCAGUCAGUUAAUCGCUACUCGGUGGGUCACCGAAUAGCCGAUUGACUGAUUUAUCGGGCGGAUAACUGAUCUAUCAACCGAAUAAUUGAAAAAUUCACCUAUGUAUCUCUAUUCGGCAUCCAACCGAUAUGGUACCAGUUACCGAUAUCCUGAACAUUGCUUUUAGGGAUAAGCUUGUCAAUGCAGGAAAAUCUAAAAGAAAGCGACUAAAAUCAACAUUUAAAGGUACAGCCUAUAUUCUGGUACUGUGGAAAUUAAUAUUCUGGUAUGUUAUUGGGAAUCAUGAGUUUGCUGACAGUGAGACCCAUUAGUUAGAAUCUGUUCAGAAAGCAGUAUCUAUGUAGAUGUGAUGUACUGGUAUUUUGAUCCAUUGUGCCACCCAUACUUCACCUAUCUGGAUUAUUUAGCUCGAGCUAUUUGCAGAAUCUUAUACUUCAAUAAGCACAAGAAUAUUAAUUUUUGGAGCAGUAGAGUAUAUAUAGCUAUAUAGAGUUAAGUCAUG